AUGGAACGGCCGCCGCCGCCAGAGCCAGGAUUCGCCUCUCGAGGCAGAGCACGCUUCACCUCUACCAUCUUCCCUCCAAGAUCGUGGAAGGUUUUGUGCAGCACACGGUCAACCGCAUCCUCCGAGUCAAAGGUAAUGAAGCCGAAGCCCCGGGGGCGCUGUGUUGUCUGGUCAUACAUCACCACAACAUCGGUGACAGCCCCGAAGGUCUGGAAGUACUGCCGGAACUCCUCAUCUGUCAGACUGGAGGGCAGCCCGCCCACAAAGAUCUUCUUUGUCCUAGCACCACCGGCAUCGCCUCCGCCACCACCCCCUCCACCUCCAGCGUUCCUUCCUGCGCUAGGGUUCACCGCCUUGGUAGCCUGCUGCUCCUCCCGCGAGAGCGCCCGCUUCACAUCAACCUGUACCGUGCGGCCGUCGAGUGUGUGGGGCUCUUGGAGGGCGGCGUCGACAGCGGCGGGGUCGGCGUAG
RNAcentral lists this ribosomal RNA (471 nucleotides) under Triticum aestivum (bread wheat). RNAcentral describes it as "partial small subunit ribosomal RNA". Lineage: Eukaryota; Viridiplantae; Streptophyta; Magnoliopsida; Poales; Poaceae. The record is from RNAcentral.